Molecule: ribosomal RNA, 253 nt
Filed under: uncultured bacterium
Lineage: Bacteria
Description: partial 16S ribosomal RNA
Rfam family: Bacterial small subunit ribosomal RNA
Source: RNAcentral
GACGAACCGUGCGAACGUUAUUCGGAAUCACUGGGCUUAACGGGCGCGUAGGCGGGUCGGUAAGUCAGGGGUGAAAUCCCACGGCCCAACCGUGGAAGUGCCUCUGAUACUGCCGGCCUCGAGGGGGAUAGGGGCGUGCGGAACUCAGGGUGGAGCGGUGAAAUGCGUAGAUAUCCUGAGGAACACCGGUGGCGAAAGCGGCGCGCUGGAUCCCUUCUGACGCUGAGGCGCGAAAGCCAGGGGAGCAAACGGG